RNAcentral lists this ribosomal RNA (253 nucleotides) under uncultured bacterium. RNAcentral describes it as "partial 16S ribosomal RNA". It matches the Rfam family "Bacterial small subunit ribosomal RNA", at positions 524 to 776 of the family's 1533-position model. The record is from RNAcentral.
UACGGAGGGUGCAAGCAUUAGUCGGAAUUAUUGGGCGUAAAGGGCGCGUAGGUGGCUGAGCAAGUCAUGUGUGAAAUUUCGCAGCUCAACUGCGAAGCGGCACGUGAAACUACUGAGCUAGAGGGUAGUCGGAGGAAACGGAAUUCCACAUGUAGCGGUGAAAUGCGUAGAUAUGUGGAGGAACACCGGAGGCGAAGGCGGUUUUCUAGUUUAGGCCUGACACUGAGGCGCGAAAGCGAGGGGAGCAAACAGG